AUACAUUUCUCCACCUUUUGGUUAAGAUAAAGUGCAAUGUUUAUUUUUAUCAGUUUAAUAUCUGAUACGUGGACCAUUGUUCACUUUAAUAUUAAUUUUUUUAGGUAUU
RNAcentral lists this small nuclear RNA (109 nucleotides) under Zea mays. Its description in RNAcentral is "U2 spliceosomal RNA". It matches the Rfam family "U2 spliceosomal RNA", at positions 1 to 114 of the family's 192-position model. Rfam says of the family: U2 is a small nuclear RNA (snRNA) component of the spliceosome (involved in pre-mRNA splicing). Complementary binding between U2 snRNA (in an area lying towards the 5' end but 3' to hairpin I) and the branchpoint sequence (BPS) of the intron results the bulging out of an unpaired adenosine, on the BPS, which initiates a nucleophilic attack at the intronic 5' splice site, thus starting the first of two transesterification reactions that mediate splicing. Lineage: Eukaryota; Viridiplantae; Streptophyta; Magnoliopsida; Poales; Poaceae. The record is from Rfam by way of RNAcentral.